GAUGAAGAACGUAGCGAAAUGCGAUACGUAAUGUGAAUUGCAGAAUUCAGUGAAUCAUCGAGUCUUUGAACGCACAUUGCGCCCCCUGGUAUUCCGGGGGGCAUGCCUGUCCGAGCGUCAUUGCUGCCCUCAAGCACGGCUUGUGUGUUGGGCCUCCGUCCUCCUCCCGGGGGACGGGCCCGAAAGGCAGCGGCGGCACCGCGUCCGGUCCUCGAGCGUAUGGGGCUACGUCACCCGCUCUUGUAGGCCCGGCCGGCGCUUGCCGACACAUCAAUCUUUUUUCCAGGUUGACCUCGGAUCAGGUAGGGAUACCCGCUGAACUUAAGCAUAUCAAUAAGCGGAGGA
RNAcentral lists this unclassified non-coding RNA (345 nucleotides) under soil metagenome. RNAcentral's name for it is "partial contains 5.8S ribosomal RNA, internal transcribed spacer 2, and large subunit ribosomal RNA". The stretch from base 1 to 120 matches the Rfam family "5.8S ribosomal RNA", at positions 35 to 154 of the family's 154-position model. The record is from RNAcentral.